UACACUCCUGCGGGAGGCAGCAGUGGGGAAUUUUGGACAAUGGGCGAAAGCCUGAUCCAGCAAUGCCGCGUGAGUGAAGAAGGCCUUCGGGUUGUAAAGCUCUUUUGUCAGGGAAGAAACGGUGAGAGCUAAUAUCUCUUGCUAAUGACGGUACCUGAAGAAUAAGCACCGGCUAACUACGUGCCAGCAGCCGCGGUAAUACGUAGGGUGCAAGCGUUAAUCGGAAUUACUGGGCGUAAAGCGUGCGCAGGCGGUUUUGUAAGUCUGAUGUGAAAUCCCCGGGCUCAACCUGGGAAUUGCAUUGGAGACUGCAAGGCUAGAAUCUGGCAGAGGGGGGUAGAAUUCCACGUGUAGCAGUGAAAUGCGUAGAUAUGUGGAGGAACACCGAUGGCGAAGGCAGCCCCCUGGGUCAAGAUUGACGCUCAUGCACGAAAGCGUGGGGAGCAAACAGGAUUAGAAACCCCAGUAGUCCCAUG
RNAcentral lists this ribosomal RNA (476 nucleotides) under uncultured organism. Its description in RNAcentral is "partial 16S ribosomal RNA". It matches the Rfam family "Bacterial small subunit ribosomal RNA", at positions 332 to 799 of the family's 1533-position model. The record is from RNAcentral.